Long non-coding RNA from Microplitis demolitor, 532 nucleotides. RefSeq lists it as uncharacterized. The record is from RefSeq and is a predicted model, not a curated record. The transcript has 3 exons. NCBI's taxonomy places the organism in Eukaryota, Metazoa, Arthropoda, Insecta, Hymenoptera, Braconidae.
UCAGUCAUCAACUAGCCUUAACCACCAUACAUUCGGUAUCAAAUUCAUGGCUGUAUGAAGAUUAUGAUGAAGAAUCUUUACAUCAAGAAAUCUGGUUUGACGCCGAAGAUUCAACAACGAUAGGUGAUUUUUAUGAGGAUUAUAAUAACGAACCUAGUCAGCAAGAAGAGAAGGAGGAAGAUAGAAAUGAUAGUUACAAUAAACCAGUUUGUAAGUGUUCGACAAUCACACGAGGUGAAGCUUUAAUAAUGACACUAGCAUUAGGAGCUGAAGAAUCCCUUACAUGGAAAACUAUUAUUUCCAUCUUAUCAAUGAUUAAUACGUUACUCCAAAAUAACGUGAUUCCUGCUUCUAAAUAUAAAUUAUUUAAAACUUUAAAACUCAACGAAAAUAUUCUUGUAUAUCAUGUGUACUGUGAUGAAUGUCAUUAUUAUUUCGGUGCUCGAAACAAACUUAAUAAAGGCGAGUUUCAGUGCAAAGUUUGUGACAAUAAUGAGAAAUCGCCAGAAACUUGUUAUUUUUUAACGUUUGA